UCAGCAUCACGUGUGUUUUCCUCACACAUAAACAAUAUUUUAGGCAGAGUUAUUUGCAGUACUCUGGUGUAGACAAUAAACACACAAAGCUAUUUUGUGAAAACGUGCAGCUCUUAAUUUAAAUCUGACUUUUGCUCUUAAAUCUUCAAAAAGAUGUGGAGAAGGACAGGAAAAAUAUGGGUGGGUUGUUCCUAUGCAGAAGGCUGGAAGCCCAAGAACAGAAUGGGACCCUCUGUCUCUAGUGAGAUGCUGCUGAGUUCCAGGCACCUCAAGACCUCAUUCUGCAGAUGGUGCUGA
This 297-nucleotide long non-coding RNA is filed under the name Cairina moschata (Muscovy duck). RNAcentral's name for it is "domestica (muscovy Duck (domestic type)) lncRNA (ENSCMMG00000005891.1)". The record is from RNAcentral. Lineage: Eukaryota; Metazoa; Chordata; Aves; Anseriformes; Anatidae.